RNAcentral lists this ribosomal RNA (266 nucleotides) under uncultured bacterium. RNAcentral's name for it is "partial 16S ribosomal RNA". It matches the Rfam family "Bacterial small subunit ribosomal RNA", at positions 524 to 789 of the family's 1533-position model. The record is from RNAcentral.
UACGGAGGGUGCAAGCGUUAAUCGGAAUUACUGGGCGUAAAGGGUGCGUAGGUGGUGAUAUAAGUUAUCUGUGAAAUCCCUGGGCUUAACCUAGGAAGGUCAGAUAGUACUGUAUAACUAGAGUAUGAGAGAGGGUAGUGGAAUUUCCGGAGUAGCGGUGAAAUGCGUAGAUAUCGGAAGGAACACCAGUGGCGAAGGCGGCUACCUGGCUUAAUACUGACACUGAGGCACGAAAGCGUGGGGAGCAAACAGGAUUAGAUACCCGU